GCGCGUGCCCUGAGUGUGUGGAGGAUAACGGGCAGCGUGGGGGAGGGGCGCGCUGAGGUGCGGGGCGGCGGGGCCCGGGAGCCCUGCGGAGGGGCAGUAGGUUUACGGUCAGGUGCCGUGAGGGGCAGGGAUCCGUCUCCACCUCCCCAACCCGGCGUACGGCCACGGCCAGUCACUCACCGCCAUGCAGCCUGCGGGGGCCGGUGCCGCUGACGGUUCCGGCCCGUUGGCCCCCACCCAGCGUUGUAGGGAGCCGCGGGCCGCCCUGGACCGGGUGCCGGCUGUGGAGCGUCCCUGGGACCAGGCGAGCCGCCCCGCCUCCGAGCACUCGAGACCGGCAUAAAAGUGAGAGCUAAUCGCACAGGCCAGAGCAGCAAUGUCUGAUGGAAAGCUAACCUGGAAGUAAUUUUGUUCUGAGAAAGUCAUCUCUACUGUCAUUCCAAAUCCUAUGGACUACUUAUGCCCCAUUUAAUUCUGAAGAUGGUGACCAGCUCCAAAGAAAACAGGUGAAUUGUUGAUCUACAUCCUCUAAAAUAAAGCUGAUUGUGCAUUAAAUGCCACAUCCUCAACCCAGCUAAAUGCACAGAUUGCUUCUACUAAAUUGUAAAGAAAGUUCUCUAAUGCAAGUUA
Molecule: long non-coding RNA, 630 nt
Organism: Mauremys mutica (yellowpond turtle)
Lineage: Eukaryota; Metazoa; Chordata; Testudines; Geoemydidae
Exons: 3
Source: RefSeq, a predicted model, not a curated record